GCCACACCUCCCCUGGCUAUGAUUGACAGAGCCUGCAUGAAAAAAACCAACUGGUUUCACUUUCAAACAGAUGUAAUUUACCUUAAAUAAUUGUAUCUCAAUCUCUAAAUUGAACUUUAAUCACAUACAGGAGGCUCUUGCAGGGUCUAGCAAGCUAUUAACAUAGCAGGGGAUAAGAAAAUCUUAAUUAAACAGAACUUGCAAUAAAGAAAGCCUAAAUAGGGCUCUCUUUACAGGAAGUGUUUAUGGAAGGCUGUUCAAGUCACAUGCAGGGAGGUG
Pelobates cultripes (western spadefoot toad) is the source of this 279-nucleotide non-coding RNA. Lineage: Eukaryota; Metazoa; Chordata; Amphibia; Anura; Pelobatidae. The record is from the annotation of a GenBank genome assembly.